RNAcentral lists this ribosomal RNA (258 nucleotides) under uncultured bacterium. RNAcentral describes it as "partial 16S ribosomal RNA". It matches the Rfam family "Bacterial small subunit ribosomal RNA", at positions 30 to 293 of the family's 1533-position model. The record is from RNAcentral.
GCCUGAACGCUGGCGGCGUGGCUAAGACAUGCAAGUCGCACGGACGUAGCAAUACGUUAGUGGCGAACGGGUGGAGUAAUGAAUCGCUCAUGUGCCCCGGACUUUGGGAUAGCUGUCCGAAAGGAUAGGUAAUACCAGAUGAUAUAACUUUGUCGCAUGACAGAGUUCUCAAAGGUCCGCCGGUCUGGGAGCAGGCGAUUUCGUAUCAGCUAGUUGGGUAGGUAACGGCUCACCAAGGCGAUGACGCGUAGCCGGACU